AGAUUAAGUUAUUAAGGGCGCACGGUGGAUGCCUUGGCACUAGAAGCCGAUGAAGGACGUUACUAACGACGAUAUGCUUUGGGGAGCUGUAAGUAAGCUUUGAUCCAGAGAUUUCCGAAUGGGGAAACCCAGCAUGAGUUAUGUCAUGUUAUCGAUAUGUGAAUACAUAGCAUAUCAGAAGGCACACCCGGAGAACUGAAACAUCUUAGUACCCGGAGGAAGAGAAAGAAAAUUCGAUUCCCUUAGUAGCGGCGAGCGAAACGGGAAGAGCCCAAACCAACAAGCUUGCUUGUUGGGGUUGUAGGACACUCUAUACGGAGUUACAAAGGACGACAUUAGACGAAUCAUCUGGAAAGAUGAAUCAAAGAAGGUAAUAAUCCUGUAGUCGAAAAUGUUGUCUCUCUUGAGUGGAUCCUGAGUACGACGGAGCACGUGAAAUUCCGUCGGAAUCUGGGAGGACCAUCUCCUAAGGCUAAAUACUCUCUAGUGACCGAUAGUGAACCAGUACCGUGAGGGAAAGGUGAAAAGCACCCCGGAAGGGGAGUGAAAUAGAACCUGAAACCGUGUGCUUACAAGUAGUCAGAGCCCGUUAAUGGGUGAUGGCGUGCCUUUUGUAGAAUGAACCGGCGAGUUACGAUUUGAUGCAAGGUUAAGCAGUAAAUGUGGAGCCGUAGCGAAAGCGAGUCUGAAUAGGGCGUUUAGUAUUUGGUCGUAGACCCGAAACCAGGUGAUCUACCCUUGGUCAGGUUGAAGUUCAGGUAACACUGAAUGGAGGACCGAACCGACUUACGUUGAAAAGUGAGCGGAUGAACUGAGGGUAGCGGAGAAAUUCCAAUCGAACCUGGAGAUAGCUGGUUCUCUCCGAAAUAGCUUUAGGGCUAGCCUCAAGUGAUGAUUAUUGGAGGUAGAGCACUGUUUGGACGAGGGGCCCCUCUCGGGUUACCGAAUUCAGACAAACUCCGAAUGCCAAUUAAUUUAACUUGGGAGUCAGAACAUGGGUGAUAAGGUCCGUGUUCGAAAGGGAAACAGCCCAGACCACCAGCUAAGGUCCCAAAAUAUAUGUUAAGUGGAAAAGGAUGUGGCGUUGCCCAGACAACUAGGAUGUUGGCUUAGAAGCAGCCAUCAUUUAAAGAGUGCGUAAUAGCUCACUAGUCGAGUGACACUGCGCCGAAAAUGUACCGGGGCUAAACAUAUUACCGAAGCUGUGGAUUGUCCUUUGGACAAUGGUAGGAGAGCGUUCUAAGGGCGUUGAAGCAUGAUCGUAAGGACAUGUGGAGCGCUUAGAAGUGAGAAUGCCGGUGUGAGUAGCGAAAGACGGGUGAGAAUCCCGUCCACCGAUUGACUAAGGUUUCCAGAGGAAGGCUCGUCCGCUCUGGGUUAGUCGGGUCCUAAGCUGAGGCCGACAGGCGUAGGCGAUGGAUAACAGGUUGAUAUUCCUGUACCACCUAUAAUCGUUUUAAUCGAUGGGGGGACGCAG
This 1477-nucleotide ribosomal RNA is filed under the name Enterococcus faecium. RNAcentral describes it as "partial 23S ribosomal RNA". It matches the Rfam family "Bacterial large subunit ribosomal RNA", at positions 1 to 1477 of the family's 2925-position model. Lineage: Bacteria; Bacillati; Bacillota; Bacilli; Lactobacillales; Enterococcaceae. The record is from RNAcentral.